Molecule: long non-coding RNA, 255 nt
Filed under: Nicotiana benthamiana
Lineage: Eukaryota; Viridiplantae; Streptophyta; Magnoliopsida; Solanales; Solanaceae
Description: long non-coding RNA (NBEN_LNC008352)
Source: RNAcentral
CUCUCUGUCUCACAAUGUUCAUCUUCAUCUUCUCUGAUUUCAUCUUCAAAUCUUCAUGUUUUCAUGGUAUCAGAGCGGGAAAAUCUUCCGAUCCUUCUCUGUUAUGUGUUAUCGAUACUUGAUGAAGCUUUCGCUGAAUUUUCUUUUUUUGGUUAUCUGAGAAAAAUAUUUUUUUUUCGAUGAAUGUUAAUCGGUUAAUCGGAACUUUUAUGUCUUUUUGAGGCUCCGAUCCUGUAUCAGUAGGUGUUUUGGGUG